RNAcentral lists this ribosomal RNA (471 nucleotides) under uncultured Sphingobacteriales bacterium. RNAcentral describes it as "bacterial SSU rRNA". It matches the Rfam family "Bacterial small subunit ribosomal RNA", at positions 912 to 1382 of the family's 1533-position model. The record is from RNAcentral. Lineage: Bacteria; Pseudomonadati; Bacteroidota; Sphingobacteriia; Sphingobacteriales.
GACGGGGGCCCGCGACAAGGCGGAGGAGCAUGUGGUUUAAUUCGAUGAUACGCGAGGAACCUUACCUGGGCUCGAACGUAAGAUGACUGUAGGUGAAAGCUUACAUCUCUUCGGAGCAUUUUACGAGGUGCUGCAUGGUUGUCGUCAGCUCGUGCCGUGAGGUGUCGGGUUAAGUCCCAUAACGAGCGCAACCCUACCUUUAGUUGCCAUCAGGUAAUGCUGGGGACUCUAAAGGAACUGCCUACGCAAGUAGUGAGGAAGGCGGGGAUGACGUCAAAUCAGCACGGCCCUUACGUCCAGGGCUACACACGUGCUACAAUGGCCGAUACAGAGGGCAGCUACCUGGUGACAGGAUGCAAAUCUCCAAAGUCGGUCUCAGUUCGGAUCGGAGUCUGCAACCCGACUCCGUGAAGUUGGAUUCGCUAGUAAUCGCGCAUCAGCCAUGGCGCGGUGAAUACGUUCCCGGGCCUU